This 553-nucleotide small RNA is filed under the name Pan troglodytes (chimpanzee). RNAcentral's name for it is "retained intron". The record is from RNAcentral. Lineage: Eukaryota; Metazoa; Chordata; Mammalia; Primates; Hominidae.
GAUGCUGCGGGCCCACCGCCAGGCCUGGUGCUGGCAGGAUGAGUGGACAGAGCUGAGCAUGGCUGACAUCCGGGCACUGGAAGAGGAGACUGCUCGCAUGCUGGCCCAGCGCAUGGCCAAGUGCAACACAGGCAGUGAGGGGUCCGAGGCCCAGCCCCCCGGGAAACCAAGCACCGAGGCCCGGUCUGCGGCCAGCAACACUGGCACCCCCGAUGGGCCUGAGGCCCCCCCAGGCCCAGAUGCCUCCCCCGAUGCCAGCUUUGGGAAGCAGUGGUCCUCAUCCUCCCGUUCCUCCUACUCAUCCCAACAUGGAGGGGCUGUGUCUCCCCAGAGCUUGUCUGAGUGGCGCAUGCAGAACAUUGCCCGAGACUCUGAGAACAGCUCCGAGGAAGAGUUCUUUGAUGCCCACGGUCAGCACUGAGGCCCUUUUUGGGAGUGGGGAUGUCCCCGAGCAGCUCCUCCCACCCCAUGACACAGCCCCCUGUCCCCUCAGAAGGCUUCUCGGACAGUGAGGAGGUCUUCCCCAAGGAGAUGACCAAGUGGAACUCCAAUG